GGUCUGCUCUGCCUGCUCAUCGUAUUUGUCACUUCAUUGAAGUUAUUAUGAGUGUGUAUUUAGGUAUUGAUGUGAUCUUUUGACAAGUCUACAAAUGUGGGACAUUACUGAAAGAAGAAAUGUGGGGAAGAAGGCACCAUGGAAUGUCCAAGAAAGCAAACAGACUGGAUUUCUACCUAUAGUGAGAAUCCAAGGAGCCCAUGGAGUUCCUGUAGAAAGACCCCCCAGGAUGAGAAAGAAUCUCUGAUACAAAGUGGAACACAUUUGCCAUAUGGAUUAUCUCUGUCGGAGGCAUGAUAUUUAGUUCAUAGUGGGAAGAAUCCUGCCCAUUAUGUCCUCUUCCCUUGCCCAACUUGAAACUUUCUGAAAUGCUCCAUCCUAGAAGAUUUCCUCAAAUCAAUGAUUUUCAUGAAGGUAACAAAACUUCAGAAUUUGUGUGGCUGUUGGUUAUGUCUGCUUCAUCAGGAAAAAGGAAGAGUGAAGGUCAAGAUGAUUAUAUACCCUGACUAUCAUACAUACAGUACAGCAAUUUAAUGUAUGGAGAACUGAAGACUCUAGGGAACAGGGACUUUUGCCUAUUGUCAAUAGGCAUGGAUUACAAUUGGACCUCUGAGAAUAAUAGGUUCCAUGUGUCAGUCAAUCUAUGAUCUUGAGUGCAACCAAGGAUUGGCGACUUCUCUUGUGCUUCUUUCAUGGAGAUGAAUCCAUAAACCGGAAAUGAAGGCCUGUGGAUUCCUUCAUGGUUAACAGAUAUCAGGUUUGAUCAGAGAAGACCUCCUAAAAAUCUUGGCUACAGACAUAGAGUAAUAAACCAAGAAAGAGUACCAGACAGGUGACAUAUAUACUGACCCCUCUGCAUGGGAAUAGUUCCAAGACAGCACAAAUGCUACAACUACUCUUCCCAGGAAUUGACUAUUAUCUCAAUUUUCUCAGGGUCUCCUAAAGAUGCUGUCACCAUCAGACAACAGGAAGCAGUUUAGAGAACAUAAUUCCCACAUUCCCUAGAUGUGGGUAGGGUAGUUUUUGGCCAUUUGGUGGGUUAUGGAUGUUUGUCAUUGUUGGGGACGUAUAGGAAUAUAAGAUAAAAAGAAAAUGAUUUACCUCAAAUAUUUUGUAUUGGCAUGGAUUUUUGUAUGUUGAUACAAAUUUAAGGUUAUUUUUAUUAUACCAUGUAUAUAUUUGUACUCUUGUUUGAAGUAUUAUACCUA
RNAcentral lists this long non-coding RNA (1208 nucleotides) under Cricetulus griseus (Chinese hamster). RNAcentral describes it as "lncRNA (ENSCGRG00015030191.1)". Lineage: Eukaryota; Metazoa; Chordata; Mammalia; Rodentia; Cricetidae. The record is from RNAcentral.